CCAGCGGAGGGAUCAUUAUCGAGUUUACAACUCCCAAACCCUUAUGUGAACAUACCUACUGUUGCUUCGGCGGACUCGCCCCGGCGUCCGGACGGCCUCGCGCCGCCCGCGGCCCGGACCCAGGCGGCCGCCGGAGACCCCCAAACUCUGUAUUAUCAGCAUUUUCUGAAUCCGCCGCAAGGCAAAACAAAUGAAUCAAAACUUUCAACAACGGAUCUCUUGGUUCUGGCAUCGAUGAAGAACGCAGCGAAAUGCGAUAAGUAAUGUGAAUUGCAGAAUUCAGUGAAUCAUCGAAUCUUUGAACGCACAUUGCGCCCGCCAGCAUUCUGGCGGGCAUGCCUGUUCGAGCGUCAUUUCAACCCUCGACUUCCCUUUGGGGAAAUCGGCGUUGGGGAACGGCAGCAUACCGCCGGCCCCGAAAUGAAGUGGCGGCCCGUCCGCGGCGACCUCUGCGUAGUAAUCCAACUCGCACCGGAACCCCGACGUGGCCACGCCGUAAAACACCCAACUUCUGAACGUUGACCUCGGAUCAGGUAGGAAUACCCGCUGAACUUAAGCAUAUCAAUAAGCGGAGGAAAAGAAACCAACAGGGAUUGCCCCAGUAACGGCGAGUGAAGCGGCAACAGCUCAAAUUUGAAAUCUGGCCCUUGGGUCCGAGUUGUAAUUUGUAGAGGAUGCUUUUGGCGAGGUGCCUUCCGAGUUCCCUGGAACGGGACGCCAUAGAGGGUGAGAGCCCCGUCUGGUCGGACACCGAGCCUCUGUAAAGCUCCUUCGACGAGUCGAGUAGUUUGGGAAUGCUGCUCAAAAUGGGAGGUAUAUGUCUUCUAAAGCUAAAUAUUGGCCAGAGACCGAUAGCGCACAAGUAGAGUGAUCGAAAGAUGAAAAGCACUUUGAAAAGAGGGUUAAAAAGUACGUGAAAUUGUUGAAAGGGAAGCGCCUAUGACCAGACUUGGGCCCGGUGAAUCAUCCAGCGUUCUCGCUGGUGCACUUUGCCGGGCACAGGCCAGCAUCAGUUUGGCGCGGGGGAAAAAGGCUUUGGGAAUGUGGCUCCCUCGGGAGUGUUAUAGCCCAUUGUGUAAUACCCUGCGCCGGACUGAGGUACGCGCAUUGCAAGGAUGCUGGCGUAAUG
Molecule: small RNA, 1129 nt
Filed under: Akanthomyces attenuatus
Lineage: Eukaryota; Fungi; Ascomycota; Sordariomycetes; Hypocreales; Cordycipitaceae
Description: eukaryotic LSU rRNA
Rfam family: Eukaryotic large subunit ribosomal RNA (bases 520-1129)
Source: RNAcentral